This 253-nucleotide ribosomal RNA is filed under the name uncultured bacterium. RNAcentral's name for it is "partial 16S ribosomal RNA". It matches the Rfam family "Bacterial small subunit ribosomal RNA", at positions 524 to 776 of the family's 1533-position model. The record is from RNAcentral.
UACGUAGGUGGCAAGCGUUAUCCGGAUUUAUUGGGUGUAAAGGGCGUGUAGGCGGGAGCGCAAGUCAGAUGUGAAAACUCAGGGCUCAACCCUGAGCCUGCAUUUGAAACUGUGCUUCUUGAGUGCUGGAGAGGCAAUCGGAAUUCCGUGUGUAGCGGUGAAAUGCGUAGAUAUACGGAGGAACACCAGUGGCGAAGGCGGAUUGCUGGACAGUAACUGACGCUGAGGCGCGAAAGCGUGGGGAGCAAACAGG